Molecule: non-coding RNA, 23 nt
Filed under: Arabidopsis thaliana (thale cress)
Lineage: Eukaryota; Viridiplantae; Streptophyta; Magnoliopsida; Brassicales; Brassicaceae
Source: RNAcentral
AGAAGAAACUGCAUCUCUGGUUU